Molecule: non-coding RNA, 332 nt
Organism: Pantherophis guttatus
Lineage: Eukaryota; Metazoa; Chordata; Lepidosauria; Squamata; Colubridae
Source: RefSeq, a predicted model, not a curated record
GAUGGUGAUACUGAGGCACAAAAAAGAGGGGAGACCAUUUGGAGUUUCUGAGCAACUAUGAUGGUGAUACUGAGGCACAAAAAAGAGGGGAGACCAUUUGGAGUUUCUGAGAAACUAUGGACAUUAUGGUAAAACAGUUGCAGCUCAGUCGUCAGAUGCAGUGGAUUUACCCAGUGAAUGGACUUUUUGAGAAGAAUUGUGGAAAUGGCAAGUAGCAUGUUUUCCAUAAUUGGUUAGUGAGAGACCUAUUGAACUCUUGCUCUUGCUGUUCUGAUCAUAUGGCAAUAGGAACAGCAGAUUACACUGAUUAAAAUAAUAGGUCUGGUGUCUCU